RNAcentral lists this ribosomal RNA (595 nucleotides) under uncultured Syntrophobacteraceae bacterium. Its description in RNAcentral is "bacterial SSU rRNA". It matches the Rfam family "Bacterial small subunit ribosomal RNA", at positions 9 to 581 of the family's 1533-position model. The record is from RNAcentral. Lineage: Bacteria; Pseudomonadati; Thermodesulfobacteriota; Syntrophobacteria; Syntrophobacterales; Syntrophobacteraceae.
GAGUUCGAUCCUGGCUCAGAAUAAACGCUGGCGGCGUGCCUAACACAUGCAAGUCGAACGAGAAAGCCCGACUUCGGUUGGGCGAGUAAAGUGGCGCACGGGUGAGUAACGCGUAGGUAACCUGCCCCCAUGUUUGGGAUAACAGUGCGAAAGUGCUGCUAAUACCAGAUGUUGUCAAAAGGCGGUGGUCUUUUGGCCAAAGUCGGCCUCUCGAUGAAGCCGGCGCAAGGGGAUGGGCCUGCGUCCUAUCAGCUAGUUGGCAGGGUAACGGCCUACCAAGGCUACGACGGGUAGCUGGUCUGAGAGGAUGAUCAGCCACACUGGCACUGAAACACGGGCCAGACUCCUACGGGAGGCAGCAGUGAGGAAUUUUGCGCAAUGGCCGCAAGGCUGACGCAGCAACGCCGCGUGGGUGAAGAAGGCCUUCGGGUCGUAAAGCCCUGUCUGGUGGGAAGAACGAGCGGGGAAGUAAUAUUUUUCCGCAGUGACGGUACCACCGGAGGAAGCACCGGCUAACUCCGUGCCAGCAGCCGCGGUAAUACGGAGGGUGCAAGCGUUAUUCGGAUUACUGGCCUAAAGCGCGUGCAGGCGGCCG